UGUUGUCACGGCGUUGUCACAUCACACAACGCCGUCUGAAUCGCGUGCAGUCGCAUAACGACGUCGCUGCGGUUGAAGCGGCUUAGGACAUUAAAUAUAGCCCCUCCACACACACCAGCACCAGCAGCAGCAGCAGCACACUAAGCGGGAUUAUGAGGAGCCGUGUUGAUGCGGGUAUGCACGAGAGCUGUGCGUUCUCUACGCGAGGCGACUGCUGUGUUGCCGCCGCCACUGCUGCUGUUGCAACUUGGAGGCAACCCGCGUCAUGUGUACAACCAUCGUGGUCAUCAGCACCCUCGUUUAUCUGGUGCGCAGGAGGUUCUUCAACAAAGUGGAGCCAUUCCAUGAAGAAUGCAAUUUAAGGGCCAAAGGAGCAGCAAAUGGAAUUGGUGUUCAAAAUGGAACCCCGCCUUAGCUGUGCAUCGACAACAUCCCCAGCAGCUGCCUGCGGGAGAGGUUCCGUCUGCGCAAGUCGCGGCUAGACUGACGUGAGGGGUGAUAAGAAGGAACGUGGUCAGCCGUGCGUGCUGCAGCCGCAAGUGGCGUGGACUUCGUGAACGUGAUUGAACUCAACACAACUCGCACGCAUACUUUAUUUCACAAAGGGAGUGUCAGUAUUGUGCUCUUAACCAAAUGGUAACGAAAGUAUAAAUAUACACACGCGCAACGAAUUAAAAAUAUACACGUAUUUUGUAUUAUCGUGAUGUAUACACAAAUAAACUGACAUUUUGUAGUAUUGCAUGAAUACUCUUGAUUAGUUAGAUUUUGCAUGACUAUAACUUGACAAAAUUAUACUGUAAUAAUGUUAGAAACAGCCUUAAUUGGGUCACACUGCAGUCUACCAUGACACCAAUCCCCUGAUGACUGCCUGUUACAUUGCACGCACUCUGCCCACACUUCAUACCCAAACCUACAUGCAAAUGCUGGUGGUUCUUUAAACCCCGUGGGCUCCCAUUUUUAGUUUUUUACCCCUGGGAUUUACCGUAAUAGCCUGAACACUUCCUCCAGUCUCACCAAUUCAUUAUGCUAAUAUGCUACUUAAUAUAAUUAACUUUUAAACAAUACAAUUAUUAUUUUGAUUAUAAUUUGGUCACCUCCGAUUAUCACGGUUUAGUUACGUACGGUGCAAAAGAAGUUCAAUAGACGUACGUGCGUGUGUCGUACAACUGUAUGUGCCCACUUACGGUUCCUGUUAAUAGUGUUGCUAUUCGAAUUUUUACUUUGAGAUGUGUAAAUGGUUGUCUAUAUUCAGUGCCAUCUGGACAUGAAAGCCUGAUGUAAACACAGGGGGUGGGAGGCUCCGGGUUCCUGAUCAUAUUUCACGGCUCGUCGGAUCACCGAGGGAAAGUCCUUGACCCUGAAAUUGUCCCAGAGGAAGGAGUUAAUGAAUGACAGAAAACGAGACCAGGCCAAAGGGUCCACCAGAGUCUCAGGCAAGCCAGCCACCUCCUCGCCAUUUCAGAUACAGCCAACGGGGUAGACUUGGCAGAGGGGUGGAGAUGGAAAAAAAAUAUGGCCUAACUUUGGUAAUGCUGCAUGGAAGAGUAGGCCAAACACCCUCGAGAGCGGCUGUCUAUAGCCCACUCUAGCGGGAGGCCCUUCCGCCAGCAGAGACACGAGAGCGCAAUUUCAGAAUUGCACCUUUAACGUGCAGUUGUCCACGUGCUUUCAGGAAGGGAAUUAAAGGAAGCAGUCACUUGAACUUGUAACUUGGUUUUUCAAUACAAUACUGGACUGUCUAAUCUCUCCUGUCAUAAUUACCAUAUGAUGUGUACACACGCGUCGCAUUUAAAAGCGAUUUCACUUUAUCAACAUCAAAACUUAUCCACGUCACCCUCAAACCAUCAACGGUAACUGUUGCAUCAAAAGACAGCAGCGAAGACGAGAGCGGCGUGUGUCAGUGACAAGUACACCGACGUAGCGGGCGUUAGCGCGGGUAAAGCGACGGGGCCUUGAAAUGCGUCGCCGUGAAUCACGCGAGGCUGAAUAAAAAAGGCCCUCGCCCUGCACAGGAGGUGCAAGGGAGGGCAUUGAUUGGCUGGCUUGUUAACCGCGCUGUUACUUUUAACUGCACGUUGUUACUAAAAGGUUUUUUUUUGGGGGGGGGGGGGGUUAG
Molecule: long non-coding RNA, 2116 nt
Organism: Petromyzon marinus (sea lamprey)
Lineage: Eukaryota; Metazoa; Chordata; Hyperoartia; Petromyzontiformes; Petromyzontidae
Source: RefSeq, a predicted model, not a curated record